RNAcentral lists this ribosomal RNA (403 nucleotides) under Verrucomicrobiota bacterium. RNAcentral's name for it is "Verrucomicrobia bacterium partial 16S ribosomal RNA". It matches the Rfam family "Bacterial small subunit ribosomal RNA", at positions 355 to 776 of the family's 1533-position model. The record is from RNAcentral. Lineage: Bacteria; Pseudomonadati; Verrucomicrobiota.
UGGGGAAUAUUGCACAAUGGGGGAAACCCUGAUGCAGCGACGCCGCGUGAGCGAAGAAGGUUUUCGAAUCGUAAAGCUCUGUCCUAUGAGAAGAUAAUGACGGUAUCAUAGGAGGAAGCCCCGGCUAAAUACGUGCCAGCAGCCGCGGUAAUGCGUAUGGGGCGAGCGUUGUCCGGAAUUAUUGGGCGUAAAGGGUACGUAGGCGGUCUAUUAAGUCAGGUGUGAAAGCGUGAGGCUUAACCUCAUUAAGCACUUGAAACUGAUAGACUUGAGUGAAGGAGAGGAAAGUGGAAUUCCUAGUGUAGCGGUGAAAUGCGUAGAUAUUAGGAGGAAUACCGGUGGCGAAGGCGACUUUCUGGGCUUUUACUGACGCUCAGGUACGAAAGCGUGGGGAGCAAACAGG